GAUGAAGAACGCAGCGAAAUGCGAUAAGUAAUGUGAAUUGCAGAAUUCAGUGAAUCAUCGAAUCUUUGAACGCACAUUGCGCCCGCUAGUAUUCUAGCGGGCAUGCCUGUUCGAGCGUCAUUACAACCCUCAAGCUCAGCUUGGUGUUGGGCCCCGCCGCCCCGGCGGGCCCUAAAGUCAGUGGCGGUGCCGUCCGGCUCCGAGCGUAGUAAUUCUUCUCGCUCUGGAGGUCCGGUCGUGUGCUCGCCAGCAACCCCCAAUUUUUUUCAGGUUGACCUCGGAUCAGGUAGGGAUACCCGCUGAACUUAAGCAUAUCAAUAAGCGGAGGA
This 329-nucleotide unclassified non-coding RNA is filed under the name soil metagenome. RNAcentral's name for it is "partial contains 5.8S ribosomal RNA, internal transcribed spacer 2, and large subunit ribosomal RNA". The stretch from base 1 to 120 matches the Rfam family "5.8S ribosomal RNA", at positions 35 to 154 of the family's 154-position model. The record is from RNAcentral.